This 136-nucleotide ribosomal RNA is filed under the name uncultured eukaryote. Its description in RNAcentral is "partial 18S ribosomal RNA". The record is from RNAcentral.
UGGUGGAGUGAUUUGUCUGGUUAAUUCCGAUAACGAACGAGACUCUGUCCUGCUAACUAGGUCCUGUUUUCUCGGAACGCCGGUGGGCGUGUGGGGCGGCCGUUCGCGCGGCUCUUCCCGCGCUCUCUCGGCUUCC